AGGCGAGUAGCUCAACUGGCAGAGCAACGGUCUCCAAAACCGUAGGUUGCGGGUUCGAUUCCUGCCUCGCCUG
RNAcentral lists this transfer RNA (73 nucleotides) under Chloroflexota bacterium. RNAcentral describes it as "Chloroflexi bacterium (anaerobic digester metagenome) tRNA-Trp". It matches the Rfam family "tRNA". From Rfam's summary of the family: Transfer RNA (tRNA) molecules are approximately 80 nucleotides in length. Lineage: Bacteria; Bacillati; Chloroflexota. The record is from RNAcentral. RNAcentral also lists the same sequence under 3 other names.